Molecule: ribosomal RNA, 492 nt
Filed under: uncultured bacterium
Lineage: Bacteria
Description: partial 16S ribosomal RNA
Rfam family: Bacterial small subunit ribosomal RNA
Source: RNAcentral
AGUGAACGCUGGCGGUAGGCCUAACACAUGCAAGUCGAACGGCAGCACAGUAAGAGCUUGCUCUUACGGGUGGCGAGUGGCGGACGGGUGAGGAAUACAUCGGAAUCUACUUUUUCGUGGGGGAUAACGUAGGGAAACUUACGCUAAUACCGCAUACGACCUACGGGUGAAAGCAGGGGAUCUUCGGACCUUGCGCGAUUGAAUUAGCCGAUUUCGGAUUAGCUAGUUGGCGGGGUAAAGGCCCACCAAGGCAACGAUCCGUAGCUGGUCUGAGAGGAUGAUCCGCCCAACUUGAACGGAGGAACGGUUCAGACUCCUACGGGAGGCAGCAGUGGGGGAUAUUUGACAAUGGGGGCAAGCCUGGUCCAGCCAUACCGCGUGGGUGAAGAAGGCCUUCGGGUUGUAAAGCCCUUUUGUUGGGAAAGAAAAGCAGCAGGUUAAUACCCCGCUGUUCUGACGGUACCCAAAGAAUAAGCACCGGCUAACUUCGUG